This 788-nucleotide ribosomal RNA is filed under the name uncultured archaeon. RNAcentral's name for it is "bacterial SSU rRNA". It matches the Rfam family "Archaeal small subunit ribosomal RNA", at positions 85 to 876 of the family's 1478-position model. The record is from RNAcentral.
ACGGCUCAGUAACACGUAGGUAACCUACCCUCAGGACUGAGAUAACCCCGGGAAACUGGGGCUAAUAUUAGAUAGAUAAAAGAUACUGGAAUGUUCUUUUAUCCAAAGCUUUUGCGCCUGAGGAUGGGCCUGCGUCCGAUUAGGUCGUUGGUGGGGUAAUGGCCCACCAAGCCUGCGAUCGGUACGGGCAGUGGAAGCUGAAGCCCGGAGUUGGGGACUGAGACAAGGCCCCAGGCCCUACGGGGCGCAGCAGGCGCGAAACCUCUGCAAUGCGGGAAACCGUGACAGGGGGAUCCCAAGUGCUCAUGCAUUGCAUGGGCUGUUCUUUGGUCUAAGUAACCAGAGGAGUAAGGGCUGGGCAAGACCGGUGCCAGCCGCCGCGGUAAUACCGGCAGCUCAAGUGGUAGCCGCGAUUAUUGGGCCUAAAACGUUCGUAGCCGGAUAAGUAAGUCUUUGGUUAAAUCCUGCGACUCAACCGUGGGAAUUCUAGAGAUACUGCUCGUCUUGAGACCGGGAGAGGUUGGAGGUACUCCUAGGGUAGGGGUGAAAUCCUGUAAUCCUAGGGGGACCACCUGUGGCGAAGGCGUCCAACUGGAACGGGUCUGACGGUGAGGGACGAAACCUAGGGGAGCGAGCCGGAUUAGAUACCCGGGUAGUCCUAGGCGUAAAUGAUGCGAGUUAAGUGUGGGGGCAUCUACGAGAUGGCCCUGUGCUGUAGGGUAGCCGUUAAACUCGCUGCCUGGGGAGUACGGUCGCAAGGCUGAAACUUAAAGGAAUUGGCGGGGGAG